RNAcentral lists this ribosomal RNA (468 nucleotides) under uncultured bacterium. Its description in RNAcentral is "partial 16S ribosomal RNA". It matches the Rfam family "Bacterial small subunit ribosomal RNA", at positions 28 to 507 of the family's 1533-position model. The record is from RNAcentral.
GACGAACGCUGGCGGCGUGCUUAACACAUGCAAGUCGAACGGAAAGGCCCUGCUUUUGUGGGGUGCUCGAGUGGCGAACGGGUGAGUAACACGUGAGUAACCUGCCCUUGACUUUGGGAUAACUUCAGGAAACUGGGGCUACUACCGGAUAGGAGCUCCUGCUGCAUGGUGGGGGUUGGAACUUUUCGGUGGUUGGGGAUGGACUCGCGGCUUAUCAGCUUGUUGGUUGGGUAGUGGCUUACCAAGGCUUUGACGGGUAGCCGGCCUGAGAGGGGGACCGGCGACAUUGGGACUGAGAUACGGCGCAGACGCCUACGGGAGGCAGCAGUGGGGAAUAUGGCACAAUGGGCGGAAGCCUGAUGCAGCAACGCCGCGUGCGGGAAGACGGCCUUCGGGUUGUAAACCGCAUUCGCCUGUGACGAAGCGUGAGUGACGGUAAUGGGUAAAGAAGCACCGGCUAACUACGUG